RNAcentral lists this transfer RNA (88 nucleotides) under Hydrogenophaga palleronii. Its description in RNAcentral is "tRNA-Ser". It matches the Rfam family "tRNA". From Rfam's summary of the family: Transfer RNA (tRNA) molecules are approximately 80 nucleotides in length. Their secondary structure includes four short double-helical elements and three loops (D, anti-codon, and T loops). RNAcentral also lists the same sequence under 1 other name. The record is from RNAcentral. Lineage: Bacteria; Pseudomonadati; Pseudomonadota; Betaproteobacteria; Burkholderiales; Comamonadaceae.
GGAGACGUGGGAGAGUGGUUUAAUCCAGCGGUCUUGAAAACCGCCGACCCGAAAGGGUCCGUGAGUUCGAAUCUCACCGUCUCCGCCA